RNAcentral lists this ribosomal RNA (497 nucleotides) under uncultured bacterium. RNAcentral's name for it is "partial 16S ribosomal RNA". It matches the Rfam family "Bacterial small subunit ribosomal RNA", at positions 28 to 507 of the family's 1533-position model. The record is from RNAcentral.
GAUGAACGCUGGCGGCGUGCCUAAUACAUGCAAGUCGAGCGUACGGACGAGAAGCUUGCUUCUCUGAUGUUAGCGGCGGACGGGUGAGUAACACGUGGAUAACCUACCUAUAAGACUGGGAUAACUUCGGGAAACCGUAGCUAAUACCGGAUAAUAUUUUGAACCGCAUGGUUCAAAAGUGAAAGACGGUCUUGCUGCCACUUAUAGAUGGAUCCGCGCUGCAUUAGCUAGUUGGUAAGGUAACGGCUUACCAAGGCAACGAUGCAUAGCCGACCUGAGAGGGUGAUCGGCCACACUGGAACUGAGACACGGUCCAGACUCCUACGGGAGGCAGCAGUAGGGAAUCUUCCGCAAUGGGCGAAAGCCUGACGGAGCAACGCCGCGUGAGUGAUGAAGGUCUUCGGAUCGUAAAACUCUGUUAUUAGGGAAGAACAUAUGUGUAAGUAACUGUGCACAUCUUGACGGUACCUAAUCAGAAAGCCACGGCUAACUACGUG